Molecule: long non-coding RNA, 1904 nt
Filed under: Homo sapiens (human)
Lineage: Eukaryota; Metazoa; Chordata; Mammalia; Primates; Hominidae
Description: non-protein coding lnc-NLRP3-3:1
Source: RNAcentral
CCAAGAUUGUGCCAUUGCACUCCAGCCGGGGUGACAGAGUGAGAUUCUGUCUCAAAAGAAAAAGAAAAGAAAAGAAAAAGAAAGAAGAAACUUAAGCAGGGAAGGAGACUGGGGUAUAACCUUACAAGGAGGACAAUGAAACUUAGAUGACAUCCGGGAAGAUCGUAACCCCAUAGUACUCGACCAAUGAAGAACUAGCGGAGGGACUUGUGUGCUAGAAGAUAAAUUACCUGUUGUGACUGCCCCAGUUGUGCCUGCCCACCAGACACCUGAUCUUGCAAGACCGUUACUAAAUGUCUCCUUUUCACUGUUCUUCAGGCCUCUAAGUCCAUUCUCUGGAUUUGGACAGGUCUUCUGACGCAAGCUCUGCCUCUUGAGUUCAUGGUUCACUACUUCCAGCCUGGCAACUUGGUGCUGACUAAGAUUUGGAAAGAAGACAAGCUCCACCCAAGCUGGGAAGGUCCCUGUCAAGUGCCUCUGCCCCUGAGACAGCCCUGCGAACAGCUGAAUGGGGGUGGACUCACUACACUGGAAUCAAGAGGCCGGUAAAAGAGACCUGGAAAGGGAAGGAGAAAGAACAGUGGGAAGUGCAUGGGUCACCUGACGAACACUUAAAGUUAACUCUGAGAAAAAUUUAGAAAGAAAGCGUGGGCUGGCUGCAUUUCUGAAAGGUAAUAAGGCUGGGAUGGGUUAGUAUACAAAGAGCAGAAGGUCAAAAUGGAAACUGGCAGGGGACUCCCCACUGCUCAAUCAGGUUGGUGAUUAAUAUGAUUAAGACGGUAGCACCCCAAACUAUAAGAUUUGAUGCCUGUCAGGUUUUACCUUGUGGGAAUUUAGAAAAUCAGAGACAGCUCUCGCAGGCAGAUAAAUCUCUUUGCCUUGAACCAGAUGCAGGUUGCAGUAGGGCAUCACCCUUCCCCAGCUGGGAGGAUGUAUGGUGCGCUACCCAAUUUCAGGGUUGGACAGUAAACAUGGUGUGGGUAACUCCAAACUGGAAACCCUUGAAGCAUAAACUACCUCUGUCCAAGCGCUCCCCACCAAAUAACUGCCAGAAUUUAGAAUGCCAUCCUAUACUCAUCACCCUUGACAAUUCAGCCUUUCUAGACCAAGAACCAAAAGUAGCAUCUCAGGUAUAUGGGUUAGGAGAAGACAUCACAAGGAAAGACCCCCAGGUCGAUUUGAUCUCAGGCUAAUCAAGAACUCAACCUCCCAUUUGCCUGGAACUACUCCAACCCCAGACCCUAAUAAACACUUUAGUCUACCAAAUAUUAACCCUAAAAUGGUAACAAUAAUUGAGGUAAAGGAUUUAAGGCAAACCUUAGAAAUUGAGACAGGGUAUAGGGAUGUGAAUGCCUGGGUCAAAUGGGUCAUAUUUUCGGUACAAGCCCUCAGCAAAAGUAACUGCUACGCGUGUGCUGCAGGACCACCUCAGGCGCAGGUGGUUCCGUUUCCCCUGGGAUGGAAUAGUGAUUCUAGAGGAAUGUGUUGCAUGUUGGCUGCAUACCAGCACAAUGAUAUAAGUAAGGAGAAGUAAGACUUGUAAGAGUCUUUCAUUGCUGUUUCCUGCAUUGCGGAGCUCAGAUCCCAGAGCAAUACCCUCGUUCUCUGCAGAGAACAUGAACUACUCCUCUUGCCUCUCUAGACAGGGGGCAGAGUUCCAUAAGCCUAUGGGAGAACUCUCAACUUGUACCCACAUCCUAAACGUCACUGGUGAGUUGAGCAAUGGCAAUUACUCAGCUCUCCAUACACCCCGGGCUGAUGUCUGGUAGUAUUAUGGGAAAAGGAACCUACGUAACCUGUUACUGUCCAAUGGGACCAGGACUUGUGCUUUAGUCUCAUUGGCCAUUCCCUUCACCCUGGCAUCCCAUAAGAUACCCCAAAAUACACAUGGCCACUGAAACCAG